UACGAAGGGGGCUAGCGUUGCUCGGAAUCACUGGGCGUAAAGCGCACGUAGGCGGCUUCUUAAGUCAGGGGUGAAAUCCUGGAGCUCAACUCCAGAACUGCCUUUGAUACUGGGAAGCUCGAGUUCGGGAGAGGUGAGUGGAACUCCGAGUGUAGAGGUGAAAUUCGUAGAUAUUCGGAAGAACACCAGUGGCGAAGGCGGAUCUCUGGGCCAUUACUGACGCUGAGGAGCGAAAGCGUGGGGAGCGAACAGG
RNAcentral lists this ribosomal RNA (253 nucleotides) under uncultured bacterium. Its description in RNAcentral is "partial 16S ribosomal RNA". It matches the Rfam family "Bacterial small subunit ribosomal RNA", at positions 524 to 776 of the family's 1533-position model. The record is from RNAcentral.